GUAAGUCAAGAACUUUUACUACAUCUGUUGAUAAGAGCAGACUAAGCACGACAAGGCCAAUGUGUCAUUUUAAUGAGGGAAAAUAUUUAGAGCCUCAUUAUUUGCAGGUAUUAUAAUCCCAGGCAAACGAAAUUUCUUUCUGCAAACCUAGAACCUUUGACCCAUAUUUCCUCUGUCUGCUCUGCUCUUCCAAAGCGAAGAGGACAACUCACCCCGCUUCCUUGCAUCCACGUCCAUAUGUUCUGCCACCACUGUUUCUAAGAUGCUCUCAACCACGUAGAGUAAUUCUAACUUUUAAACAAAGAAGAAUAGAUCCUGAUCAUCCCAACAGAGAUCACCAAGAGGUCAGUGUGGAGACGAAAUCCCCGACCAGUGCUGCCACCAACAGAGAAUGUCACAGCAGCCGUGCACAAGCCAGACUCACGUGUGCACAGAGCCACAUCUGUGGAGACUCACCUGGAACAUGCUUGUCUCUGGACACCUGAACACCGAUGAGCAAGGGGCAUGGCCCUAACAAGGCACAGAUGGGCUGAUUGACAUGACCCAGAAGCAGAAACAAAAACAGAAACACAGACUCGGGGUAAAAGACGACGGAAACAGUUGGCAGAGCUGAGGGUCUCCUGCUAGGGCUUCUCUGCAGGAGCCAAGGAAAGACACACCUGGUGCUGCACAGACCGCACGGUGUUGUCUCAGGCAGGGCACGUAACUGGUUUUAGAAGAUGACCCACUGAGACAUCUCUGUGGAAUCUACAAAACUGGUCAAAAUGCAAUAUUCAAAUAGUUGAGCUGUAGCUCCCAUGCUUACGAAGCGAGCAUGUGUUAAUCAUUUAUUAUAGUGAGGGAACUAGCAAAAUGUUAGAGCUGGUUUGGUUCCUGAUUUCGGUUUUAAAUUGCUUUUCUUUAAUUGGCAUCCUUUUAAUACAUUUCUUUUUUGUGUUUAAAUUGCCCAGAUUUGGUUUCUGUUGCUUGUAACUAAGAGACCUGACUACUACACAAAUUGAUACCAUCAUUAAUUGCAAACAACAGACCUCUAGAGGAAGGAAGAAAAUUUUGGAGUGUUAUCUAGCUUUGUUGGAGCUGAGGGCCAUGAAAAUGUAGCUAAGAGAUACGACUCUGGCAGCUGAUGCUUGAUGAGCUCUCCCGUGAGGUCCCCUGGAAUUCACGGUCCCAUGAAUUCAAGGCUUUAGGGAGUGAAGGCGUGCAUUGUCUGUAGAGGAUUUAAAAACAUUAAUGCAAGUAACUACAAGUUGGUUUGAUUUUUAUUAUCACCUUGUACCCACAUACCCAUCCCACUAGCUUUCUUUGGCCUCUGCAGAAAGCAGGUUGGGUCUUGGAGAAAGAACGAUGAAGAGUAGUAACUCCUGUUACAACCACCGUUGCAAUACCAGUCUUUUUGCUGGAGAAAAUCAGCACAGGCCAGUAUACAGCUUUUGACCCAGCACAUCUAUUUCUCUCUGUUCUAAUCACUAGAGAAUGUCCGAAAUACACCUCCAGUCUCUCACCUCAGAAGCACAUCACCACGGUGGUGGGGAACCGGAGUUCAGUACAUCCCAUAGGACAUCCUCCCAGGGGACAUUCUUCCGUGGGACUUUGUCCCAUGGGGCAUUCUUUGUUUCAUAGGACAUCGCACUGGCCCGCUGUAUGGAGGAUACUGGCUGAGAGGAGCUGCAGAGCCAGAGGAUGCAUUGGUAAUUGUAAUAUUUCAACUUUGUCAACUUUGGUGACAGAGAAAGAAAAACCCAGGGAAACAUUCUACAAUCGUCUUUCUGAAACUGGAGAUGACACCGCAGUAGGUUUCAGCCUCAUGUCGUCUCCUGUCUCCUUGACAGGCCCUCCUUGGUUACCCGCCUGGAAGAAGUCUCCCCACCCGGUGUUGCUACGUAUCACAAGACUUCGUUUUCUUUCACUGUAAUUGUCACGCUUUCGACCGUUUUGCGUGUUUACUUUAUUUCCAAAUCUCCUCACCUGCACCAGAUUUAACAAAUCCUCUCACUGAGGCUGACCUGGCUCCUGCUGAUCUGAGUGCCCAGCAGCCAGCAGCCUGUGAACACCGUGUGUGUCACAUGUGUUGGAGGGGGCACUGAUUUGUCCCCAACAGAGUAGACACAUCAAGCUGUGGCCCAGCGUGCUCCUGUCUGGCCAGCACCUGUGGACUGACUGAGGGUCUCACUCACCAUGGUUUUGCCACACUGCACUGCUUCUGACAAAAGAACCUGCUUUAAGGGGGAAGGAGCAGAGCAAAUGCACCCAACUGUCCACGUGACGUCUCUUUCAGGAUGUUUUAAAGGCAUCUCAUGCUCAGCACAUCCAAACCAAACUCAUGAUCUUCCCCCGUAACCCAAGGCUCUUC
Molecule: long non-coding RNA, 2350 nt
Filed under: Equus caballus (horse)
Lineage: Eukaryota; Metazoa; Chordata; Mammalia; Perissodactyla; Equidae
Description: lncRNA (ENSECAG00000052394.1)
Source: RNAcentral